This 67-nucleotide transfer RNA is filed under the name Chelonibia testudinaria. RNAcentral describes it as "tRNA-Ile". The record is from RNAcentral. Lineage: Eukaryota; Metazoa; Arthropoda; Thecostraca; Balanomorpha; Chelonibiidae.
AAUAAGAUGCCUGAAAAAAGGAUUACUUUGAUAGAGUAAAUCAUGUAAGCCAAUCUUACUCUUAUUA